This is a non-coding RNA of Dokdonia sp. 4H-3-7-5, 322 nucleotides long. Lineage: Bacteria; Pseudomonadati; Bacteroidota; Flavobacteriia; Flavobacteriales; Flavobacteriaceae. The record is from Rfam.
CCAGCAGGCCGCCUUAUUGAUCCAGCAAUGGAUAGGAAAGUCCGGACACCAUAGGAUAGCAUAGCGGCUAACGGCCGUCACGCUAAAUUUAUUUUUAGUGGAGGACAAGUGCAACAGAAAGAAUGUACAGGUAAUGCUGUAGCGAACCCAGGUAAACUCUAUGCGGUGCAAUGUCAAGUAUACUCACAGUUAAGUGUGAUCCGCGCGUUGUGGGAGGGUAGGCAGAUAGAGGUUACUAGUAAUAGUAAUCCCAGAUAAAUAAUAAGGAAUCUCUAGAAUCAUCUAGAGUGAACAGAAUCCGGCUUAUAGGCCUGCUUUUUUU